AGUUCGGAUUGAAGGCUGAAAUUACGCCUUCCAUGAAGCUGGAAUUGCUAGUAAUGGCAGGUCAGCAUACUGCCGUGAAUACGUUCCCGGGCCUUGUACACACCGCCCGUCACACCAUGAGAGUUGGGAAUACCCGAAGCCUGUGAGCUAACUUAUAGAGGCAGCAGUCGAAGGUAGAAUCAAUGAUUGGGGUGAAGUCGUAACAAGGUAAC
RNAcentral lists this ribosomal RNA (212 nucleotides) under uncultured bacterium. RNAcentral's name for it is "partial 16S ribosomal RNA". It matches the Rfam family "Bacterial small subunit ribosomal RNA", at positions 1290 to 1500 of the family's 1533-position model. The record is from RNAcentral.